This 439-nucleotide ribosomal RNA is filed under the name uncultured bacterium. Its description in RNAcentral is "partial 16S ribosomal RNA". It matches the Rfam family "Bacterial small subunit ribosomal RNA", at positions 338 to 795 of the family's 1533-position model. The record is from RNAcentral.
CCUACGGGUGGCAGCAGUGGGGAAUAUUGGACAAUGGGGGGAACCCUGAUCCAGCGACGCCGCGUGAGUGAAGAAGUACUUCGGUAUGUAAAGCUCUAUCAGCAGGGAAGAAAAUGACGGUACCUGACUAAGAAGCCCCGGCUAACUACGUGCCAGCAGCCGCGGUAAUACGUAGGGGGCAAGCGUUAUCCGGAUUUACUGGGCGUAACGGGAGCGUAGGCGGUGGAUGAAGUCUGAGGUGAAAGGUCGGGGCCCAACCCCAGGACGCAUUUGAAACUGGUGAACUGGAGUACAGGAGAGGUAAGCGGAAUUCCUAGUGUAGCGGUGAAAUGCGUAGAUAUUAGGAGGAACACCAGUGGCGAAGGCGGCUUACUGGACUGGAACUGACGUUGAGGCUCGAAAGCGUGGGGAGCAAACAGGAUUAGAUACCCGUGUAGUC